GACGAACGUUGGCGGCGUGCUUAACACAUGCAAGUCGAACGGAAAGGCCCUGCUUUUGUGGGGUGCUCGAGUGGCGAACGGGUGAGUAACACGUGAGUAACCUGCCCUUGACUUUGGGAUAACUUCAGGAAACUGGGGCUAAUACCGGAUAGGAGCUCCUGCUGCAUGGUGGGGGUCGGAAAGUUUCGGCGGUUGGGGAUGGACUCGCGGCUUAUCAGCUUGUUGGUGGGGUAGUGGCUUACCAAGGCUUUGACGGGUAGCCGGCCUGAGAGGGUGACCGGCCACAUUGGGACUGAGAUACGGCCCAGACUCCUACGGGAGGCAGCAGUGGGGAAUAUUGCACAAUGGGCGGAAGCCUGAUGCAGCAACGCCGCGUGCGGGAUGACGGCCUUCGGGUUGUAAACCGCUUUCGCCUGUGACGAAGCGUGAGUGACGGUAAUGGGUAAAGAAGCACCGGCUAACUACGUGCCAGCAGCCGCGGUGAUACGUAGGGUGCGAGCGUUGUCCGGAUUUAUUGGGCGUAAAGGGCUCGUAGGUGGUUGAUCGCGUCGGAAGUGUAAUCUUGGGGCUUAACCCUGAGCGUGCUUUCGAUACGGGUUGACUUGAGGAAGGUAGGGGAGAAUGGAAUUCCUGGUGGAGCGGUGGAAUGCGCAGAUAUCAGGAGGAACACCAGUGGCGAAGGCGGUUCUCUGGGCCUUUCCUGACGCUGAGGAGCGAAAGCGUGGGGAGCGAACAGGCUUAGAUACCCUGGUAGUCCACGCUGUAAACGGUGGGUACUAGGUGUGGGGUCCAUUCCACGGGUUCCGUGCCGUAGCUAACGCUUUAAGUACCCCGCCUGGGGAGUACGGCCGCAAGGCUAAAACUCAAAGGAAUUGACGGGGCCCCGCACAAGCGGCGGAGCAUGCGGAUUAAUUCGAUGCAACGCGUAGAACCUUACCUGGGUUUGACAUGGAUCGGGAGUGCUCAGAGAUGGGUGUGCCUCUUUUGGGGUCGGUUCACAGGUGGUGCAUGGCUGUCGUCAGCUCGUGUCGUGAGAUGUUGGGUUAAGUCCCGCAACGAGCGCAACCCUUGUUCACUGUUGCCAGCACGUUAUGGUGGGGACUCAGUGGAGACCGCCGGGGUCAACUCGGAGGAAGGUGGGGAUGACGUCAAGUCAUCAUGCCCCUUAUGUCCAGGGCUUCACGCAUGCUACAAUGGCUGGUACAGAGAGUGGCGAGCCUGUGAGGGUGAGCGAAUCUCGGAAAGCCGGUCUCAGUUCGGAUUGGGGUCUGCAACUCGACCUCAUGAAGUCGGAGUCGCUAGUAAUCGCAGAUCAGCAACGCUGCGGUGAAUACGUUCCCGGG
RNAcentral lists this ribosomal RNA (1343 nucleotides) under uncultured bacterium. RNAcentral's name for it is "16S ribosomal RNA". It matches the Rfam family "Bacterial small subunit ribosomal RNA", at positions 28 to 1378 of the family's 1533-position model. The record is from RNAcentral.